RNAcentral lists this ribosomal RNA (527 nucleotides) under uncultured bacterium. RNAcentral's name for it is "bacterial SSU rRNA". It matches the Rfam family "Bacterial small subunit ribosomal RNA", at positions 20 to 518 of the family's 1533-position model. The record is from RNAcentral.
UGGCUCAGGACGAACGCUGGCGGCGUGCCUAAUACAUGCAAGUCGAACGGCGUUUUCUAUGGAAGCUUGCUUCCACUGAGAAGAUAGUGGCGAACGGGUGAGUAACACGUGGGUAACCUGCCCAUAAGAGGGGGAGUAACAUCCGGAAACGGGUGCUAAUACCGCAUAGUUUUCUUGAUCGCAUGAUCGGGAAAGGAAAGACGGCCUUUGUGCUGUCGCUUAUGGAUGGACCCGCGGCGUAUUAGUUAGUUGGUGAGGUAACGGCUCACCAAGACGAUGAUACGUAGCCGACCUGAGAGGGUGAUCGGCCACAUUGGGACUGAGACACGGCCCAAACUCCUACGGGAGGCAGCAGUAGGGAAUCUUCCGCAAUGGACGAAAGUCUGACGGAGCAACGCCGCGUGAGUGAAAGAAGGUUUUCGGAUCGUAAAACUCUGUUGUCAGAGAAGAACAAGUUGGAGAGUAACUGCUCCAGCCUUGACGGUAUCUGACCAGAAAGCCACGGCUAACUACGUGCCAGCCGCGGC